GCAAACUUGGUCAUUUAGAGGAAGUAAAAGUCGUAACAAGGUCUCCGUAGGUGAACCUGCGGAGGGAUCAUUAUCGAAUGGCCUCUGUGCCUUCACAUGCCCAUCAAACCUGUGGACCGUUCAGAGAGAACGUGCUUCGGCGAGCCCCUGGGUUCACCCCUGAGGGCCGCCGCCUCCAUGCAGAUAACAUUGUCUUGUCUGAUUUUUUGAAACCAUAAUAGUUUUUAAAACUUUCAACAAAGGAUCUCUUGGCUCUCGCAUCGAUGAAGAACGCAGC
RNAcentral lists this unclassified non-coding RNA (277 nucleotides) under uncultured fungus. Its description in RNAcentral is "partial contains small subunit ribosomal RNA, internal transcribed spacer 1, and 5.8S ribosomal RNA". The stretch from base 1 to 73 matches the Rfam family "Eukaryotic small subunit ribosomal RNA", at positions 1759 to 1831 of the family's 1831-position model. Lineage: Eukaryota; Fungi. The record is from RNAcentral.